UGUACUGUAUAUUCACUGUUCUCCACUCAUGAAGGACUAAACUGUGUUAGUAAUGUGAUUGAUAUAGUUCGUGUUGUUGCUUGCCUGAGACUUAUUGUUUGUUUGUCUUUUUAAUUUAUUACUUGUACUGUUGAGAUUACAUAAAUUAUAUUAAGGUUGUUGAGAGUACAUUUUGUUUCUGGAUAUUUUUUCACCAGUUUAGUUUGUGUAAGUUGUGUGUAUUAAGUAAUAAUUUUUUUUAUUCUUAUUAUGUUGGUUAUAUGUUUUUUUAUUUUUAAACUUGUUGUUUUUACCGGACCUUUAAAACAAAUAUACGAAGACUUGUAGAAAUAACUAUAAAAUGAGUGACAAUUAGUAUUUGAGUCUUAAUGGGUUUUAAACGAAUAUAUGUAUUUCUCAUAAGAAGACAAUAGCAUUGGCAUGUUGACAUUGAGCAUAUAAGCUAUUUUUAUAAGACAAGAAGAGUGAGUAGGUGGAGAUGUUGUUGCCGCAUUUGUGUAUGUUGGGAUUGUCUCUUGUAUCUCCUGGUGUGGCUGUGUUUGUUUCUCU
This 549-nucleotide long non-coding RNA is filed under the name Brassica napus (rape). RNAcentral's name for it is "long non-coding RNA (BNAP_LNC025760)". Lineage: Eukaryota; Viridiplantae; Streptophyta; Magnoliopsida; Brassicales; Brassicaceae. The record is from RNAcentral.